CACGGGUGUAAGGCCAGAUGAUGGUGGAGCAACAGCAGAGCUGAGCUGGAGCGUUCUCUGAAGCUGUACUUUCAUAGGAAUGAAUUAAAACAUUCGUGGACACGCACUGUAAGUGACAAAUCGUUUAGAAUACAAUGCACGCUCAGCACCUCCGGCCCCGAUGCGAAAUCGAAAGCGAAAUUAAAAAGGAUGUGUGUGCGUAUUUAAACAAUUUCAAUACCAGCAGUUUGAGAUCAUUUUUUCCAUCCAUAUAUUUCUAAAAGCAUAUGAACUUGAUACAUUAUGUCACUUAAAACAUCGUCCUCUGGUGUGACACCAUAUCCUGAUUUUAAACUCCACAGACAACUUUAAUAAGUUGAAGGGCCAGAGUAGUGUUUUACAAAAAAGCGUUUUUACUGCAUAUCCAUUUUUACAGCGUAGGACAGGGAUAGGAUGUGUACAUUGGGAUGGGAUGCGGGUGGUUAGGUGAAACUAUAGGUAUGGGGGCCCCCUUUUAAAAAUCUGCUUAGGGCCCCCAAAACGCUAGGGCCGGUCUCACAUCUGCAGAAGUUCAAUAAUAUAAAUGCUUUCCCCACACUUAAACGUUUUGAUGCCAAGGACCUCAAAUAUUAUAUAAAAAAAAAAAAAAAAAGUUGAGAAAAAUAAAAACUAUGCUAUUAUAAAGACAAUUAAAUUUGACCUUUAUAUUGUGACUGUACUAAACAGUACUAGUAAUAAUAUUUUUGCUAUUUUUAUUAGACAUUGUAUCUGAGAUUAACUCUUAAGCGCACUAUGAAAGCCAUACAAACACAGUUUGUAAAACUUGUAUAGUUUUCCCUCACAUUUUUUGUGACCCAUUUGUGGCCACUAGUUUGAAAACCAUCGCAUUACAUGUAGAACAAUAGAAAAGGUUAAAACACCAGUUUUGCUUCAGUGCCUUAAACCAGGAUUGUACAACUUGCACACCACCCAGCAACCAAAAACAAACAAAGUUUUCAAAUGGCCAUGGAAUGGAGAAACUAUUAAAGCAGUGUAUUAAAUGUGGUCAGGUAGCGGCAAAUUCUCUUGAUGGAAGAAGUUCCAUCAAGAUAUCUGAAAUACACUUUUUUUUUUUUUUUACUCUUUUCUCUUCCUUCUCAUCUCAGCAGAACAUGUGCAAGGAAGCCUUUUGCAAUCAGUCGUCAUAAGAACAGAAAUGAAUGGAAUGCUUUGCCCAUUUCUCAUCUACAAAAAAGAGAGAAUGUCAGAAAACAGCAGAUUAGAUAUAGAUAGCAUGAUUCUGAAGACUUCAGAAAGGUGUGUUUAAAUUAACUUGAAGAGCCAGGCAAAGGCACAUAUGCAUUUUUCUUCCUGCUCUUUCUGGCUCUUCAGUAUAAAAUUUAAAUGGAAAUAUCUAAUGACAAAGAGAGAAAAU
Molecule: long non-coding RNA, 1393 nt
Organism: Cyprinus carpio carpio
Lineage: Eukaryota; Metazoa; Chordata; Actinopteri; Cypriniformes; Cyprinidae
Source: Ensembl